Tripterygium wilfordii is the source of this 2995-nucleotide RNA transcript. It is a transcript of the gene named probable pre-mRNA-splicing factor ATP-dependent RNA helicase DEAH4, with no coding region annotated. NCBI's taxonomy places the organism in Eukaryota, Viridiplantae, Streptophyta, Magnoliopsida, Celastrales, Celastraceae. The record is from RefSeq and is a predicted model, not a curated record. The transcript has 17 exons.
GUUAUUUUAAAGAGGCAGACAGAACAUAAAUUAAAACUUGUUGUAGAGGAUUCCGCAAAACCCUAAUUACUUUUUGAAGUUCGCGCGAUAACACAAUCUGCAACUUUGAGAUUCCAUUCUCUAUCAAUGGCGGAACUUCCGAUCCUUCAAUUUGAGGAGAAGAUUAUAGAUACCGUACAAAAGAAUCCUGUGACGGUUAUAAUCGGGGAGACUGGGUCGGGGAAAAGCACCCAGCUCUCUCAGAUACUACACCGCCAUCGUUACACCAAAUCCGGAAUCAUUGGCGUCACCCAGCCCCGGCGAGUCGCUGCCGUCUCCGUUGCUAGACGAGUUGCACAGGAGCUUGGUGUUCGGCUUGGGGAUGAAGUGGGUUAUGCCAUACGCUUUGAAGAUAGAACUUCUGAAAGAACACGAAUCAAAUAUCUGACUGAUGGAGUGCUCCUUCGUGAAAGUCUGUCUAACCCCGAGCUUGAUCAGUAUUCAGUCAUUAUAUUGGAUGAGGCACACGAGAGAAGUCUGAACACAGACGUGUUACUGGGGCUAAUGAAACGCUUGGUCAAACUACGCACUUCCAGUUUAAGGGUUCUGAUCACUUCAGCAACUCUUGAUGGUGAAAAAGUGUCGAAGUUCUUUUUGGACUGUCCUGUAUUGAAUGUCCCAGGGAAGUUGUAUCCUGUGGAAAUAUUAUACAGCAAGGAGCGCCCUACGAGUUAUCUUGAGUCUUGUCUUAGAGUAGCUAUUGAUAUACAUAUUCGAGAGCCUGAAGGUGAUGUUUUGAUAUUUAUGACUGGACAGGAUGACAUAGAAAAGUUGGUCGCAAAGUUGGAGGAUAAAAUUCGAAGCUUGGAAGAAGGUUCUUGCAUGGAUGCUAUAGUCCUUCCCCUUCAUGGUUCUUUGCCACCUGAAAUGCAGGUGCGUGUAUUUACUCCUCCACCUUCAAACUGCAGAAGAUUUAUUGUUUCUACGAACAUUGCUGAAACUUCUUUGACUGUUGAUGGUGUUGUGUAUGUUGUUGAUUGUGGGUAUGUGAAGCAACGGCAAUACGUACCAUCAACUGGCAUGUACUCACUUGAUGUUGUCCAAAUUAGCAAAGUGCAAGCUAAUCAGCGUGCAGGGCGAGCUGGAAGAACUCGUCCUGGGAAGUGCUAUCGCUUAUACCCCUCCAGAGUUUACGAGGAAGAAUUCCUUGAUGUAACGGUUCCAGAAAUACAGCGAUCUUCUCUCACUGGCAGCAUUCUUUAUUUGAAAUCAUUGGAUCUGCCAGAUAUUGAUAUUCUCAAGUUUGAUUUUCUUGACCCCCCUUCCUCUGAGUCUCUAGAGGAUGCAUUGAAGCAAUUAUAUCUUAUCGAUGCUAUUGAUGAAAAUGGAUCAAUCACAAGCAUUGGGCGAACUAUGGCUGACCUUCCUCUAGAACCCUCACUUUCAAGGACAUUAAUGGAGGCAAAUGAGUAUGGUUGUUUAUCCCAAGCUUUGACUGUCGUUGCCAUGUUGUCAGCAGAAACAACGUUGUUACCUGGUCGAAGCAAGGGGGCCAGCAAGGGUGCUGAAAAGAAGAGGAAACACACACCCUUGGAACUUCCUGAUGGCUCUGGUUGGGGUGAUCAUAUCCAAUUGCUGCAAAUUUUUGAGCAGUGGGAUCAAAAUGGCUAUGAUGUUGAUUGGUGCAAAGAUCACGAGUUGCAGGUGCGAGGGAUGAUGUUUGUCAAAGAUGUCAGGAAGCAAUUAUGUCAGAUAAUGCAGAAGAUCGCCAAGGGAUCAUUAGAUGUACGACCAAAAGAAAGACGGAAAGAAAGCCGUCAGGAUUAUAAGGAUUUGAGGAAGGCUUUAUGUGUUGGUUAUGCCGGUCAAGUUGCUGAAAGAAUGAUACGCCACAAUGGCUAUCGGACAAUAGGUUUCAAGUCCCAGCUAGUUCAGGUGCAUCCAUCCUCGGUGGUAAGAUCAGAUGAAGAGGGCAUGCUCCCAAAUUAUGUUGUGUACCAUGAGCUGAUUGUCACAUCUCACCCAUACAUGCGCAAUGUGUGUGCUGUAGAGAUGCCAUGGGUCACACCCAUUCUAAAGAAGCUUGAGAAGAUUAGUGUCAGUAAACUGAGUGGAGGAUCUGGUCAUGUUGGAGAGGAGACAAAUCGAAAAAUCGUGGACUUGCCCAAGAAAGACAUGAAUGUUCAGGUCCCUGAUGACCAUGAAAGUAGAAUUCAGGCUGCUAAAGAACGCUUUCUUGCUCGGAAGUCGAAGAAAUGAGUUAUCAACUCACAGCAUAUUGAGGAAGGAGCACAAGUCACUUCUCCUUUUUUACAGGUCAAGGCUUGCCAAAUUAAAGCAAUUAUCAACCUGGGAUUACUGAUUGGUUUCCAAUAUUUUCUGGUAAAACCACAUGUACCAUUCGUGAGACACACGUCACAACUUGGCAGAUGGUAGUGUAUUCACAGUUUUACAUGGACAGAAGCUUUGUGGAAGUUCCCUUUCAUGUCUGGCAUCUUUCUAAUUUUGAGAAGCUCAUAAAGAACGCUCUUGGAUAUUUUAAAUUAGUUAGCUUGGAUUUGUUGCUUGUCUACAGCAAUAAGGUUUGUUGAGUUGUUGCCAAUACCAGCAAGCGAUUACUGUUUGAGAGGCUGCUGACUUUCUAGAGGAGCACGAACUUUAAGUGCAAGAAAGUCCUCUCCCCGAGAAUUAGAUCCCCUAUCUUGUGUUUGUAAGUAUAUGUGAUGGCAGAUAAUGCAUUGAUCAAGCUCUAUGGUUGUUGAUGACCAUGCCUGGAAUACAAAAAGGGGAACUGAAAGUUGGGGGAGAGUUGAAGGCCUAGUCAGUCUGAAGCAAACUCUGAAAUCAUAGAUUGUUUUGCCAGAUUUUGUGCAGAGGAAUGGACUGAAUCGUUUGUUUUUUUCUUUUUCUUUUUUUUUUAAGUAUAUGAAAUUAUUAACAACUGAUUUUUUUCUCUUGCAUUUGUUCCCACAAACCAUCACAUGAGCUAAUGUAGUAAAAAAUUUCUUAGACUGAA